This 433-nucleotide ribosomal RNA is filed under the name uncultured bacterium. RNAcentral's name for it is "partial 16S ribosomal RNA". It matches the Rfam family "Bacterial small subunit ribosomal RNA", at positions 29 to 507 of the family's 1533-position model. The record is from RNAcentral.
AACGAACGCUGGCGGCAUGCCUAACACAUGCAAGUCGAACGAGACCUUCGGGUCUAGUGGCGCACGGGUGCGUAACGCGUGGGAACCUGCCCUUAGGUUCGGAAUAACUCCCCGAAAGGGGUGCUAAUACCGGAUAAUGUCUUCGGACCAAAGAUUUAUCGCCUUUGGUUGGGCCCGCGUUGGAUUAGCUAGUUGGUAGGGUAAAAGCCUACCAAUGCGACGAUCCAUAGCUGGUCUGAGAGGAUGAUCAGCCACACUGGGACUGAGACACGGCCCAGACUCCUACGGGAGGCAGCAGUGGGGAAUAGUGGACAAUGGGCGAAAGCCUGAACCAGCAAGGCCGCGUGAGUGAUGAAGGCAGUAGGGUUGUAAAGCGCUUUUACCCGGGAUGAUAAUGACAGUACCGGGAGAAUAAGCUCCGGCUAACUACGUG